AUACGUAGGUGGCAAGCGUUGUCCGGAUUUAUUGGGCGUAAAGCGAGCGCAGGCGGUUCUUUCAGUCUGAUGUGAAAGGCCCCGGCUCAACCGGGGAGGGGCAUUGGGAACUGGAGAAAUUUAGGGCAGAAGAGGAGAGUGGGAUUCCAUGUGUAGCGGUGAAAGGCGUAGAUAUAUGGAGGAACACCAGUGGCGAAGGCGGCUCUCUGGUCUGCAACUGACGCUGAGGCUCGAAAGCGUGGGGAGCAAACAGGAUUAGAUACCCUGGUAGUCCACGCCGUAAACGAUGAGUGCUAAGUGUUGGAGGGUUUCCGCCCUUCAGUGCUGCAGCUAACGCAUUAAGCACUCCGCCUGGGGAGUACGGCCGCAAGGCUGAAACUCAAAUGAAUUGACGGGG
This 397-nucleotide ribosomal RNA is filed under the name uncultured bacterium. RNAcentral describes it as "partial 16S ribosomal RNA". It matches the Rfam family "Bacterial small subunit ribosomal RNA", at positions 523 to 918 of the family's 1533-position model. The record is from RNAcentral.